CCUACGGGUGGCAGCAGUCGAGAAUCAUUCACCAUGUGGGAAACCCUGAUGGUGCGACGCCGCGUGGGGGAAUGAAGGUCUUCGGAUUGUAAACCCCUGUCAUGUGGGAGCAAAUUAAAAAGAUAGUACCACAAGAGGAAGAGACGGCUAACUCUGUGCCAGCAGCCGCGGUAAUAAAGAGGUCUCAAGCGUUGUUCGGAAUCACUGGGCGUCAAGCGUGCGUAGGCUGUUUCGUAAGUCGUGUGUGAAAGGCGCGGGCUCAACCCGCGGACGGCACAUGAUACUGCGAGACUAGAGUAAUGGAGGGGGAACCGGAAUUCUCGGUGGAGCAGUGAAAUGCGUAGAUAUCGAGAGGAACACUCGUGGCGAAGGCGGGUUCCUGGACAUUAACUGACGCUGAGGCACGAAGGCCAGGGGAGCGAAAGGGAUUAGAUACCCCAGUAGUC
RNAcentral lists this ribosomal RNA (446 nucleotides) under uncultured bacterium. RNAcentral describes it as "partial 16S ribosomal RNA". It matches the Rfam family "Bacterial small subunit ribosomal RNA", at positions 338 to 795 of the family's 1533-position model. The record is from RNAcentral.